CCUACGGGUGGCAGCAGUAGGGAAUCUUCCACAAUGGACGAAAGUCUGAUGGAGCAACGCCGCGUGAGUGAAGAAGGGUUUCGGCUCGUAAAGCUUCGUUGGUAGUGAAGAAAGAUAGAGGUAGUAACUUGCCUUUAUUUGACGGUAAUUACUUAGAAAGUCACGGCUAAUUACGUCCCAGCAGCCGCGGUAAUACGUAGGUGGCAAGCGUUGGUCGGAUUUAUUGGGCGUAAAGCGAGUGCAGGCGGUUCAAUAAGUCUGAUGUGAAAGCCUUCGGCUCAACCGGAGAAUUGCAUCAGAGACUGUGGAACUUGAGUGCAGAAGAGGAGGGUGGAACUCGAGGUGUAGCGGUGGAAUGCGUAGAUAUAUGGAAGAACACCGGUGGCGAAGGCAGCUCUCUGGUCUGCAACUGACGCUGAGGCUCGAAAGCAUGGGUAGCGAACAGGAUUAGAUACCCGAGUAGUC
Molecule: ribosomal RNA, 465 nt
Filed under: uncultured bacterium
Lineage: Bacteria
Description: partial 16S ribosomal RNA
Rfam family: Bacterial small subunit ribosomal RNA
Source: RNAcentral